Molecule: ribosomal RNA, 494 nt
Filed under: uncultured bacterium
Lineage: Bacteria
Description: partial 16S ribosomal RNA
Rfam family: Bacterial small subunit ribosomal RNA
Source: RNAcentral
GACGAACGCUGGCGGCGUGCUUAACACAUGCAAGUCGAACGGUGAAGCGCCUUCCUUUUUGGUGGGUGUGGAUGAGUGGCGAACGGGUGGGUAACACGUGAGUAACCUGCCCCCUUCUUCUGGAUAACCGCAUGAAAGUGUGGCUAAUACGGGAUAUUCUGGGUCUGUCGCAUGAUGGGUCUGGGAAAGAUAUUGUUUCGGUGGGGGAUGGGCUCGCGGCCUAUCAGCUUGUUGGUGGGGUGAUGGCCUACCAAGGCGGUGACGGGUAGCCGGCCUGAGAGGGUGGACGGUCACACUGGGACUGAGACACGGCCCAGACUCCUACGGGAGGCAGCAGUGGGGAAUAGUGCACAAUGGGCGCAAGCCUGAUGCAGCGACGCCGCGUGAGGGAUGGAGGCCUUCGGGUUGUGAACCUCUUUCGCCAGUGAAGCAGGCCUGCCUCGUUUGUGGGUGGGUUGACGGUAGCUGGAUAAGAAGCGCCGGCUAACUACGUG